This 65-nucleotide transfer RNA is filed under the name Cucujoidea sp. 37 KM-2017. RNAcentral's name for it is "tRNA-Ala". The record is from RNAcentral. Lineage: Eukaryota; Metazoa; Arthropoda; Insecta; Coleoptera.
AGGGUAAUAGUUAAUUAUAACGUUUAAUUUGCAUUUAAAAAUUAUUGAUAUUUCAAUUUACCUUA